AAGUCGUAACAAGGUUUCCGUAGGUGAACCUGCGGAAGGAUCAUUAUUGAAAUAAACCUGAUGGGUUGUUGCUGGUUCUCCAGGGAGCAUGUGCACACCUUGUCAUCUUUAUAUCUCCACCUGUGCACUUUUUGUAGACCUGAAAAGGUCUAUGUUGCUUCAUUUUACCCCAAUGUAUGUUAAUAGAAUGUUGUGCCUAUAUAAUAUAUACAACUUUCAGCAACGGAUCUCUUGGCUCUC
RNAcentral lists this unclassified non-coding RNA (240 nucleotides) under air metagenome. RNAcentral's name for it is "partial contains small subunit ribosomal RNA, internal transcribed spacer 1, and 5.8S ribosomal RNA". The stretch from base 1 to 46 matches the Rfam family "Eukaryotic small subunit ribosomal RNA", at positions 1786 to 1831 of the family's 1831-position model. The record is from RNAcentral.